Molecule: long non-coding RNA, 305 nt
Organism: Girardinichthys multiradiatus
Lineage: Eukaryota; Metazoa; Chordata; Actinopteri; Cyprinodontiformes; Goodeidae
Exons: 2
Source: RefSeq, a predicted model, not a curated record
AAAAAUGGAUUCUCUGUUCCUGGCAGGACACAGAGUUGCUGCUCCUGCCUGCUGCCUGAUGGUUUUCUGGGUGCCGGCCCUGCGAUGCAUUCCUGUGUCCCGAGCAGCCGGAGAGAAAACAGACCCUGAUGCUGGAUAAUGGAUCUCCCAGCCGACCUAGUGGACCUCCUCUCUCCAGCUGGUGACCCCGCUGGAGGAAAAAUUCACACCUCGAGUCCUUGAGAAACUGCAAACACAGAGGUGUCGACCCUGGGACACACUUCACCCCUCAAUAACCCCAUGAAUAAAGACCUUGUUAAAAAUGA